RNAcentral lists this RNase P RNA (362 nucleotides) under Gelidibacter maritimus. RNAcentral's name for it is "Gelidibacter sp. F6074 RNase P RNA component class A". It matches the Rfam family "Bacterial RNase P class A". Rfam says of the family: Ribonuclease P (RNase P) is a ubiquitous endoribonuclease, found in archaea, bacteria and eukarya as well as chloroplasts and mitochondria. Lineage: Bacteria; Pseudomonadati; Bacteroidota; Flavobacteriia; Flavobacteriales; Flavobacteriaceae. The record is from RNAcentral.
UGAGUUGAAAGAUUCAUUUAUGAGAUCCCCGCUUUCGCGAGGAUUUGGAGGAAAGUCCGAACACCGUAGUGCAACAUAAUGGUUAAUGGCCAUCGGUCGUGAGAUCAGGAAAAGUGCAACAGAAAGUAUGUACAGGUUAAGCUGUAGUGAAACCAGGUAAACUCUAUGUGGUGCAAUGUCAUGUAUACCAACGUCCAGUCCCAAUCGGGAUCGGGAAAGGGCGGCACGCUCGAUUGUUGGAGGGUAGACAGCUAAAGUGUACUGGUAACAGUGCAUUCAGAUAAAUGAUAAGGUACUUUUCUUUUUGGAAUUCAUUUCAAACUGAAAAUGGACAGAAUUCGGCUUACAGAUUUACUUAUUUA